CCUACGGGGGGCUGCAGUGGGGAAUAUUGGACAAUGGGGGGAACCCUGAUCCAGCCAUGCCGCGUGUGUGAAGAAGGCCCUCGGGUUGUAAAGCACUUUCAGUGAGGAAGAACGCCUGGUGGUUAAUACCCAUCAGGAAAGACAUCACUCACAGAAGAAGCACCGGCUAACUCCGUGCCAGCAGCCGCGGUAAUACGGAGGGUGCGAGCGUUAAUCGGAAUUACUGGGCGUAAAGCGCGCGUAGGUGGCUUGAUAAGCCGGUUGUGAAAGCCCCGGGCUCAACCUGGGAACGGCAUCCGGAACUGUCAAGCUAGAGUGCAGGAGAGGAAGGUAGAAUUCCCGGUGUAGCGGUGAAAUGCGUAGAGAUCGGGAGGAAUAACAGUGGCGAAGGCGGCCUUCUGGACUGACACUGACACUGAGGUGCGAAAGCGUGGGUAGCAAACAGGAUUAGAUACACCUGUAGUC
Molecule: ribosomal RNA, 465 nt
Filed under: Vreelandella stevensii
Lineage: Bacteria; Pseudomonadati; Pseudomonadota; Gammaproteobacteria; Oceanospirillales; Halomonadaceae
Description: partial 16S ribosomal RNA
Rfam family: Bacterial small subunit ribosomal RNA
Source: RNAcentral